This 639-nucleotide ribosomal RNA is filed under the name uncultured bacterium. Its description in RNAcentral is "bacterial SSU rRNA". It matches the Rfam family "Bacterial small subunit ribosomal RNA", at positions 854 to 1501 of the family's 1533-position model. The record is from RNAcentral.
AAAGCGAUAAACACACCGCCUGGGGAGUACGACCGCAAGUUUAAAACUCAAAUGAAUUGACGGGGACCCGCACAAGUAGUGGAGCAUGUGGUUUAAUUCGAAGAUACGCGCAGAACCUUACCAACACUUGACAUGUUCGUCGCGACUUUAAGAGAUUAAAGUUUUCGGUUCGGCCGGACGAAACACAGGUGCUGCAUGGCUGUCGUCAGCUCGUGUCGUGAGAUGUUGGGUUAAGUCCCGCAACGAGCGCAACCCUCACUUUUAGUUGCCAUCAUUUAGUUGGGCACUCUGAAAGAACUGCCAGUGAUAAGCUGGAGGAAGGUGGGGAUGACGUCAAGUCCUCAUGGCCCUUACGUGUUGGGCUACACACGUGCUACAAUGGUAUCUACAACAGGAAGCAAGACGGCGACGUUUAGCAAAUCCUUAAAAGAUACCUCAGUUCGGAUUGCACUCUGCAACUCGAGUGCAUGAAGCUGGAAUUACUAGUAAUCGUGGAUCAGCGUGCCACGGUGAAUGCGUUCCCGGGUCUUGUACACACCGCCCGUCACACCAUGGGAGUUGGUUCUACCUUAAGGCAAGGUUUCAAACCCUUGACCACGGUAUAGUCAGCGACUGGGGUGAAGUCGUAACAAGGUAACC